Molecule: ribosomal RNA, 1603 nt
Filed under: metagenome
Description: bacterial LSU rRNA
Rfam family: Bacterial large subunit ribosomal RNA
Source: RNAcentral
GUAGCGAGACCCAUGCGAGAAACAUGGGCGUCGAAGGCCCAAGGUUUCCUGGGGAAGGUUCAUCCACCCAGGGUAAGUCGGGACCUAAGCCGAGGACUGAGGUCGUAGGCGAUGGACAGCAGGUAGAGAUUCCUGCACCACUUACACUUGUUUGACGAAGCAGUGACACAGAAGGAUAGGACGAGCGCGGUGAUGGUCAACCGCGUAGGCGGCACGAGGCCGGGAAGCAGUGAAGUACACUUCCCGCAAAGGCUGAGUGUUGACAGGACCGAAAAGAAGUAGGGAAGCGUCCGAGUUCACGCUGGCGAGAAAAGCUGCUAAGGAGAGUGUGAGUGCCCGUACCGGAAACCGACGCAGGUGGGCGAGGAGAGAAUCCUGAGACGGACGGGAGAACUCUUGUUAAGGAACUCGGCAAAAUGACCCCGUAACUUCGGGAGAAGGGGUGCCUCGAAAGAGGCCGCAGAGAAUAGUCACAAGCGACUGUUUAGCAAAAACACAGGUAUCUGCGAAAGCGAGAGCUGACGUAUAGGUGCUGACGCCUGCCCGGUGCUGGAAGGUUAAGGGGAAGUGUUAGGGGAAACCCGAAGCAGAGAACCGAAGCCCCAGUAAACGGCGGCCGUAACAAUAACGGUCCUAAGGUAGCGAAAUUCCUUGUCGGGUAAGUUCCGACCCGCACGAAUGGCGUAACGACUUGUGAGCUGUCUCAACAGGAGGCCCGGUGAAAUUGAAGUAUGUGAAGAUGCACAUUACCCGCGACUGGACGGAAAGACCCCGUAGAGCUUUACUGUAACCUGACAUUGGAUCUUGAUAACGGAUGCACAGGAUAGGUGGGACGCUGGGAGACGAGGACUUUGGUUUUCGUGGAGCGGCCGUUGGGAUACCACUCUUCUGUUAUUGAGAUUCUAACCUCAAGCCGUGUGCCGGAUGAGAGACAGUGUCAGGCGGACAGUUUGACUGGGGCGGUCGCCUCCGAAAGAGUAACGGAGGCGCCCAAAGGUACCCUCAGAAUGGAUGGAAACCAUUCGAAGAGAGCAAAGUCAGAAGGGUGCUUGACUGCGAGACCAACAAGUCGAGCAGGUACGAAAGUAGGGCUUAGUGAUCCGGCGGUAAGAGAGUGGAAUUGCCGUCGCUCAACGGAUAAAAGCUACCUCGGGGAUAACAGGCUGAUCUCCCCCAAGAGUUCACAUCGACGGGGAGGUUUGGCACCUCGAUGUCGGCUCGUCGCAUCCUGGGGCUGAAGCAGGUCCCAAGGGUUUGGCUGUUCGCCAAUUAAAGCGGCACGCGAGCUGGGUUCAGAACGUCGUGAGACAGUUCGGUCCCUAUCCAUCGUGGGCGAAGGACACAUGAGAGGAACUGCUCCUAGUACGAGAGGACCGGAGUGGACGCAUCACUGGUGCAACUGUUGUCGUGCCAACGGCACAGCAGGGAAGCGAAAUGCGGACGGGAUAAACGCUGAAGGCAUCUAAGCGUGAAGCCCACCUCAAGAAUAAGUGUCCCAUUCGAAAGAAGUAAGACCCCUGGAAGACUACCAGGUGAUAGGUCAUCGGUGAAAGAGUGGCAACACUUGGAGCUUGAUGAUACUAAUCGGUCGAGGACUUGAUCC